CAGAGUUCAUGCCCUUCGGGGUAGAUCUCCCACCCGUGUUAUCAUACCUUUGUUGCUUUGGCGGGCCCGCCUCGGCCACCGGCUCCGGCUGGUGAGCGCCCGCCAGAGGACCCCAAACUCUGAAAUUUAAUGUCGUCUGAGUACUAUAUAAUAGUUA
This 157-nucleotide unclassified non-coding RNA is filed under the name uncultured Septoria. RNAcentral's name for it is "sequence contains ITS1". The record is from RNAcentral. Lineage: Eukaryota; Fungi; Ascomycota; Dothideomycetes; Mycosphaerellales; Mycosphaerellaceae.